Molecule: long non-coding RNA, 1584 nt
Organism: Pan troglodytes (chimpanzee)
Lineage: Eukaryota; Metazoa; Chordata; Mammalia; Primates; Hominidae
Exons: 3
Source: RefSeq, a predicted model, not a curated record
GCCCGGGUUUGCGGGAACAAAGCAGCGCCCUGCGGAAGGCAGCCCUCGUGAACUCAGAAGUUAGUUUUCGUCUCUGGACCUUUUUAUAAUCGGACUUCAGCCCAUCACUGUCUCGUUUUGUCCUCAGAAACGGCGACAGCAGCCUCUUCCCAAUGUUGAGAGCAAAAAGUGUGAACCCAGAAAUUCCGAGACAAAUCUCAAUUACUUGCCAAGGUUGAGGACGCGCGCGUGACAGCCUCAGGAAGUCCUCACGACAUGUGCCCAAGGUGGUCUGGGCAUAGCUUAGUUUUAUACAUUUUAUGGAGACAUGAGACAUCAAUAAAUGUAUGUAAGAAGUACAUUGGUUCUGUUUGGAAAGGCGGGGCAACUUGAAGCAAAGGCAGGAAGACGUGAAGCAGGAAGGGGGCUUCCAAGAAACAGAAGUGCCCACCCCUCAGUGUGGUGCCCAUUACCCACAGUCUGGAAGAGCUCUGGGAGAUCCUGGAAGCUCCCUUGGGGGUCUGGACCCUCCCGGGAAAGAACCAGGGGCAGAGUUCACAAUCCUGGAGGUCAGCCUCUGAGGUCCAUGUCACCAGAAAACCUGAGUGCUACAGACCACUGUUUGCAAACUCAAAUGACCAUAGGAACUCAGCAAGUCAUAUAAAUGAGCGGGAAAUGCCAGAUGGAAAGGCCUGUUUGGACAGAGACGUGGGUCUAAGAAAUACUUCCCUUUCUUCUUCGCUGUACUUUAAGAUAAACACCAAAAACACUAAAAGCAAGCCAUGAUGAAUGGCACGUGGUGCUUGGUCAGGAGCCCACGGGAGUGGUGGGGAUGGGUGGCCGGGCCACGGUGAAUUGUGAGUUCUGGCUCUGGCUCAGCUCCCAACAACUGUGGUUUUGUCGGAGCCUAGGUCGAGUUGCCAAAUCUUUGGAUUUUUCAAAAGACACCAGAAAACCUGUAUUUGGUUGCAAAAUAUCCUUUUCAAUUUUCACUACUAACUCAUAUCACUUAAAAACACUGCCUGGACUCAGAUCAAUAAAUAUGACAACCGCAGGCCAGAUCCAGUACACAGUCACAGGAUUUUAACUUGGGCAGUAAAAAGACAAUGGAGGUGGUGGGUGCCUGUAGUCCCAGCUACUUGGGAGGCUGAGGAAGGAGAAUUGCUUGAACUCUGGAGGCAGAGGUUGCAGUGAGCUGAGAUUGCGCUAUUGCACUCCAGCCUGGGCAACAAGAGCAAAACCCCAUCACACACACACACACACACACACACAAAGACAAUGGAAGCCAGGCAUGGUGGUAGCUCACGCCUGUAAUCCCAGCACUUGCGGAAGCCGAGACGACAGGAUCGCUUCAGCCAAGGAGUUUGAGACCAGCCUGGACAACAGUGAGAACCUCAUCUCUACGUAAAAUUUAAAAAUUAGCUGGCCAUAGUGCUGCCCGCCUGUAGUCUCAGAUAUUUGGAAGGCUGAUGGGAGAGGAUUCCUUGAGCACUGCAGGUUGAGGCUGCAGUUAGCCCUGUUCACACCACUGCACUCCAGCCUGGGUGACAGAGCAGGAAGCUGUCUCAGAAAUAAAUAAAUAAAUAAAUAAAUAAUAAAUAAAAA